This 206-nucleotide unclassified non-coding RNA is filed under the name Hevea brasiliensis (rubber tree). Lineage: Eukaryota; Viridiplantae; Streptophyta; Magnoliopsida; Malpighiales; Euphorbiaceae. The record is from RNAcentral.
CAAGACACAGCAAUAAUAACAUGCCCGCGUGGUGGGUGGUCUGGCUCAAUUAUCACUAUUAUUAUUUUUCCCCAUAUAUCAAUCAAACUUCCAUCCCAAAACUGGGGGCAAAGAUUGGAUAAGUGAAGGGAGUUAAUAGGGCCCACCCACGUGGAAAACACAGUCAGCUCGCCACAUGAUUGGCUCCAUUAUGGAAUAAGGGUGGG